RNAcentral lists this transfer RNA (65 nucleotides) under Trigonopterus jasminae. RNAcentral describes it as "tRNA-Arg". The record is from RNAcentral. Lineage: Eukaryota; Metazoa; Arthropoda; Insecta; Coleoptera; Curculionidae.
UAAUAAGAAGCAAAAUUUUGCAUUUAGUUUCGACCUAAACCACUGAUAAACCUUAUCCUUAUUUU